UACAGAGGUGGCGAGCGUUGUUCGGAUUUACUGGGCGUAAAGGGUGCGUAGGUGGUCUUGUAAGUCGGAUGUGAAAUCCCACUGCUCAACGGUGGAACGGCAUCGGAAACUGCGAGACUUGAGUGCAGGAGGGGAGAGCGGAAUUCUUGGUGUAGCGGUGAAAUGCGUUGAUAUCAAGAAGAACACCGGUGGCGUAGGCGGCUCUCUGGAAUGCAACUGACACUGAGGCACGAAAGCUAGGGGAGCAAACAGG
Molecule: ribosomal RNA, 253 nt
Filed under: uncultured bacterium
Lineage: Bacteria
Description: partial 16S ribosomal RNA
Rfam family: Bacterial small subunit ribosomal RNA
Source: RNAcentral